This 253-nucleotide ribosomal RNA is filed under the name uncultured bacterium. Its description in RNAcentral is "partial 16S ribosomal RNA". It matches the Rfam family "Bacterial small subunit ribosomal RNA", at positions 524 to 776 of the family's 1533-position model. The record is from RNAcentral.
UACGUAGGGGGCUAGCGUUGUCCGGAUUUAUUGGGCGUAAAGAGCGUGUAGGCGGCUUUACAGGUCCGUUGUGAAAACUCGAGGCUCAACCUCGAGACGCCGGUGGAAACCGUAAAGCUAGAGUCCGGAAGAGGAGAGUGGAAUUCCUGGUGUAGCGGUGAAAUGCGCAGAUAUCAGGAGGAACACCCGUGGCGAAAGCGGCUCUCUGGGACGGUACUGACGCUGAGACGCGAAAGCGUGGGGAGCAAACAGG